Molecule: small RNA, 466 nt
Filed under: Pongo abelii (Sumatran orangutan)
Lineage: Eukaryota; Metazoa; Chordata; Mammalia; Primates; Hominidae
Description: sense intronic
Source: RNAcentral
CUGUGUCAGGAUGCUGUUGGGUAGCUGGCUCUGUGGACAAGUGGCUGUGAGUGGAACUCCCUCUCUGAGAGUAGCUGGAAAAAGCCCAGGCUCCAGCUCCCUGAGGAGACAGCGGGAAGUCUCCUGACUUUGUGGGCCCCAGCUUUCUGUAGAAGAGGGUAUGAAUUCUGUCUCCACCUGUGAGCAGCGAGGGAGGGUAUGUGCCAGCACCGUGGACAGUACAGAGCUGCAUCGUGGAAGGAGUGUGCCUCCAGUUGCCAGGCUCCACACUGCGGGCUCAGCUUCCGUGGCAGCCUCUCCAUCUUCAUUGCCAGCUCCUCUGAUUUUUCCUUUGAAAUACUUAUUAUUAUUAUUAUUUGAAUUGGAGUCUCACUCUGUCGCCCAGGCAGAGGCUGCAGUGAGCCGAGACCGUGCCACUGCACUCCAGCCUGGCUGACAGAGCGAGACUGUCUCAAAAGAAAAAAUA